AGCCUUCAUUUCAUGUGGUUACGUACCUUGACUGAACAUUGAAAUAAAUAUUAUUUGUGCCUCCAAGCAGGGUCUUAAUUACCUUCAAAAUCAUUCUAAAACAAUGAAUUUGUCCAGUCUUGUGUCAUGGACUUCUCUGGUGUAUACAUAUUUAGUGCAUAUCAGCUUCAUGACACCCAGCCCUUCAUAUGAGCGGUUUACAAAAGUGAUCUAGCAAAACAACAUUGAAGCAGGUGUGAGCUAAGCUUAGGUCAUUUUCUCCCACACGUAGCACAUGACCUUCACCACUGUCAGUGUUUAGGGUUAAGUUUCUAUUGCAAAAGAGAAUUUUUCUUUACUUCUUUGUCCUUCUCAGGCAUAUAUUUGACCUGCUAGGUUAAAACCAGUUAUGAUCAAGCUGGAAGACUUUCUGGGUAAAACAUUUCUCCACAACCUCUCAGCCUAGAUCCAGCACUAGUGUUAUUGUAGUACGCUGAGCCAAAACCAUUUUACUUGUGUAGGUGAAGGAAACCAAGAAUAACUAUAUAGCACCAGGUGUGGUGGUAUCUGUCUUUAAUUCCAAAAUUUAGGAGGAACAGGCUGACAGAGCUCUGUGAGUUUAAGGUCAGUGUGGCCUACAUAGCUGCAUAGAUACCCUUCUGAACUUACCCCAGUCAUGAGUAGCUUGUAGAAUGUCUUUUUGAGCCUCUCACCUGUUUCUGUCUCAGAAUGGACUGAGCUUGUCUUUGGUUUUCUUCCACAUUAAGUACUUAGAUCAUCAGUUUCAAAAUACAGACAAUAGCUUCAGCUUUUUACUGUGUUUUACUUUUUGCAGAAGUGGUUGGUUUGGGGUUUGGGUUUUUUGUUUGUUUUGGGUUGGGUUUGGUUUGUAAAUUUUUAAAAAGUAGAAGUAGCCUAUAUUCAGUUCAAACAUGGAGAACUGCCUCAGCAGUUGUAAGAACACUUCCAAGUUUAGUUCCCAGCACUGAGGGCAGGCAGCUCAUGGCCGCCUAUAAUUCAAGCUCCAGGGGACUGCUGCAGUCUCUGGCCUCUGGGCAUUUGCACAUACAUACAUGCAUGCAUGCAUGCAUACAUACCAUACACACACACAAAAUCUUUUUUAAAAAAUGAAUAAAAUUCACAAGGAACAGCCAAGCAUCAUGACCUAUACCAUGCACUAGGGAGUCUGAAACAGGAGAAUUCUAAGUUUGAGGCCCAUCUGGUCUACAUAGCAAGCCCUUGGCUGAAGAAGGGUUAACUGCUUUAACCUGCACUUGAAUGGAUGUGGUAUAGAGAUGGGCCCACAGUAAAUGUAAGUACAGUUGGUGAUAAAUAGUAGGGUAGAGGAAAGCCACAUUAAGUUGAUUUUUAAUUGGUGUAAUAUAACAUGUUUCCACAUUGUAUUUUAAUUUUCAUUACUAAUUGAGGUGAAAAUGCAGAAAUAAUUCUUUGAUGUUUUUGCAGGAGUUAUGGAUAAGCUUGCCAGGUUUAGUUCCAUGUUUUUGUUACCAUCUCUGUUAUACUUUGGCUCUGAUUGUCCCCUUUUUAUCAAGUUUUUCUUAGAAAAUAAUGUGACUCUGUUCUGCUUGUGUCCCUGAAAAAGCACCAAGGGAAGCUGUGCGGUCUUCACCUCACACUGAAGCCUUUCACGCCAGGAGGCAAGAGGUGCCAGGAAGUGUGGUGCUAAGCAGUUAGAAGAUAAGUAAGAAAAUGGGCCCUUUCAAAGAAAGUCUUGGUUAUCACAAACAUGCCCUAAAAGUGUCCUCUUAAGGGACAUACUCUGUAUGGCAGCCAGUGGUCCCAUUUCCUGUAUCCACAAGGAAACAGAUCACGUAUGGUGUGGCUUGACAAGGAAACUGCUGAUGGCCGUGGUAAUGAUAUUCUCCUGUCCUCUGCAUCUUCAGACAGGAGCAGGUCUGUACCGUAGCAGCGAGAGUGGCCAGGUGGAGACUGAUACCAACCCUUCACGGCUGGUAAACAGUGUUAGCUACUGUGCUAAGUGUCAUGCCUUAGUGCCACCAGCUCCUUGACAGUAUUCUUCCAGAGAACUUGUGUCAUGUUCCUGCAGCCAUGUAUGUGAAUGCUCAGGGAACUUGGAUGAUCUCAUGCAGACGUUCUAGGAAUUAGCACUAUGACACAUGGAGUAGAGCAAGCCAGUUUCUUGAUUGAAUUGGUAGCUCACAUGAAAGGUGACAGUAGCUUUGGCAUUCUUUGUCCUGUAUUUUAAGUAAAAAAUUUUUGCUAGAUGGCGGUGGUACACACCCUUUAUCCCCCAGCACUUUGGAGGCAGAAAUUGAUCAGUCAUAUCUCAGAGGACUGGAAUAAGAAAAAUCUAUAUACAGGCAAACAGUUGUGCUAAUGAGAGUUUGCUUUGUACUAGGGAAUGGGAAUUGUGUAGUGGGCAUUGCUAAGACCAUCAAGAACUGGGCCCAGUAUUCUAAGCUAGUACAAAUGACCUGUCAGAGGAGCCCUUUACUUUCUGCUCCCUUUCUGAGAUCCUAAAUGAAUUUGGAAUCAGGUCAGCAGAAGACCAGUAGGAGCUUUUAAGUUCUAAAUGGUAACUGAAACAAAACAGGAUGUGGAACUGUUAGAAGUAACUAUAAUUUGAAUACGGCAGUUUGUUGCUAUUAUAUAUAAUAUGUAAUGGUGUGGAACCAAAUGUAAAAUGCUUUGAGAAAUUCACAUACAGCAUUUGAAAUCAAGCACCAGAUGAAAACCAGUUGUUUUGGGACUUACUAUGGUGAUAUGUACAUGUAAUUCCCGCACUGGAGGCUAAGGCAGGAGGAUUGGGAGUUUGGGGCCAGUCUGGAUUACUUAGCAAGUUCCAGGACAACCUAGGUGGGUGUACAGAGUGAGACCUGCCCUGGGUUUGGGAGUGGGGGUAUGAAAAUUAGUUUUAAAAAAAUGAUAGAAGCUAUUUCAGAUAGUUGUCUUAAGAUUUCCUACAACAAUUGAAACUUGGAAUUUGAAAUUGUGUAUUUGCAUAUCUAGUUUGACAAGAGAACUUGGUAGCUGUCAGUUACUCCAUGGUACCUUUGUAUAUAGACUUCCAAAGGUUAAUGUCCUAACAGCUACUUCAUUGUUUACUCAUGAGAACCCAGCUAGUAAAUAUUGAUGUUCAGGGCUGCUGGCUUGCACAGUCCUUGGGGUUCUGUUCACAUAGAACACAAUUUGGAGUUCAUCAAACACUGUUGCACUUUGAUUCAUACUUCCAAAUGAUUUUCAUUGGACGCUCACAUUCUGUCAUUUAGACGGAAUGCGCUUAUUGUGCCCUUUCCACUGUUCUUAGAUAAUAUUGUCAUUUCAGUGAGAAUUGAGACUGAUUCUCUCUGCAGGAUACACCUCUGGUUUUUGUCACUGAGAAGCCAUUGAUCUGCAAAGUAUAUCCUUUUCUCUUCCUUUGACUGGUUCCAAAUACAGUGGUGUGUCUUCAUCUGUUACACAUGCUACUGCAGCAUUAAUGCAUUUGAAUAAAUUAGUUGGAAU
Molecule: long non-coding RNA, 3465 nt
Filed under: Mus musculus (house mouse)
Lineage: Eukaryota; Metazoa; Chordata; Mammalia; Rodentia; Muridae
Description: long non-coding RNA chr9:70008191-70011656
Source: RNAcentral